Molecule: ribosomal RNA, 300 nt
Filed under: uncultured Lactobacillus sp.
Lineage: Bacteria; Bacillati; Bacillota; Bacilli; Lactobacillales; Lactobacillaceae
Description: bacterial SSU rRNA
Rfam family: Bacterial small subunit ribosomal RNA
Source: RNAcentral
GGUAACGUUGGGCGGGUGGCGGGGGUAAGAAGGAGGAGGGGAGCGGUUUCGGUGGUCAUUGGGUUUAAAGGGUUGGCAGGCGGAUAUAUAAGUCGGAGGUGAAAGUCUGAUGCUCAACAUCAGCCGUGCCGUCGAUACUGUAUAUCUAGAGGCAAGUUGGAGUAGGCGGAAUGUGUUGUGUAGCGGUGAAAUGCUUAGAUAUAACACAGAACACCGAUCGCGAAGGCAGCUUACUAAACUUUGACUGACGCUCAUGCACGAAAGCGUGGGUAGCAAACAGGAUUAGAUACCCUUGUAGUC